Long non-coding RNA from Mytilus californianus (California mussel), 1923 nucleotides. RefSeq lists it as uncharacterized. The record is from RefSeq and is a predicted model, not a curated record. The transcript is spliced from 3 exons. NCBI's taxonomy places the organism in Eukaryota, Metazoa, Mollusca, Bivalvia, Mytilida, Mytilidae.
UAUUAACAAUUCGAUCCUUUUCAAUUUAACACUGAAAAUUAAUGUGUCCAUCCCCUCCCACGAUUUUAAUAUUCGCCUGUUCAUUUUCUCUUCAUCCUUUACCGUUUUGUUUUGCGUUAACCAAAUCGGACACUUAGAAAAACGAACAUAAAUUACAUUAACCAACAGUAUUUAAAAUUUCAGGUUGAUGUCACUUCGACGGGAGUUGUUUUUGUGUUAACCAACAACAAAAUAAGAUACAUAUUUUUUUUUUUUUUUUUUUUUUAUCGGAAACUGUUCUUUACCAGGAUGAAAUCAAAGUGAAAGGUGUUUGGGAACGUAUAUACAGGAAUUCUUGUCAACUUGUUUCUAAUGAGAAUGGCAAUACCAUGGACUGAUGAUACAAUUCAGGACAGAGAACAAUUAAGGACACGAACUGAUGAACUAGACUCACAGUCAACAUUUGCACAUUUUAACUUCGUCAGUCAGUCAAGAUCAGCUGGUGAACUGCGCAGCCAGUGUAAUACUAAUAGGCAAAACGAUGACUUAUUUAUCGAAACUACACAUUCACGUGUUUUGGCACUGCAGAGGGAAAACAUGGAGCUGAAGUCAAAGUUAAAUUGUUUCAUAUGUAAACAAAACCAGUUCACACAUGUAUUAAUUCCAUGCAGUCAUGUUGUAUGUGGUGAUUGCGUUAAGCUUACAAUUUGUUCUUGCAAUAUACACAUUGAAUCAUCUCAUCCAUGCACGUUACCGUCUAUUCCUCACACUACAGAACAGGAAAUGUCGUUUUAGUCAUCCAUCAGUUCAUCGGACUUAUUUUCAAUUGACUUCAAUACCUCGUAGAACAAUUUGGAAUGAUAUAAUGGUUUCAAAAAUAGACUAACUUAACUAAAGUCUAACAAUUGAUAUUGGAAUUCGUUAAGGAGCCAUAUAACAUUUAUCUAACGUGUUUUAGUGUAAUUUACCCUAAAUGAAAUGACUGCUUAUGAUUAGUGAUGCAGGAUUUUGUAUUACAAAUGACCUUUAAGAUGCUACAUGUUAUUUUAUGAGAGACAUGUGUGUGCUACUCCUUUGUAGUAGCAUCCCUUCUUGAUAUUCACAGUUAUUGUCUAGCUAAAAGUUCAUUCAUUUUAUAUGUUUUAAAGUAGUGUGUAUAUUUAUAUUAGGCUUCUAGUUUUAAAUGUUCCUUUUUUUCUGCAUUGACAUUGUUCAUAUGAUUGUUUCUUGGUCAUGCAUAAUAUCUCGCUUUCCUAUAAAUUUUAUGCCGUUGCUGCAUAAAAUAUGUUGUUGUUAAGUACGGCCCCGACAUUGAAGAGUAGGACGGCCUGAUUUAAAAUAUCAAGGUUAUGUACUUUACGCUAGGUAGCAGUUACUGCUAGCAUUUGUUUCAUAUAGUAAUGUUUGAUUUAUUGUAACUGGGUUUUUGUUCAUAUCAAUUAUUCUGUCGUUGCCGAAAUAAGAUAACUGUUUCAGUAUAUAUUUUGAUUGAUUAUUCUUUUAUGUACCUUUUAGUAGUUAAUGGAUAAAGCUAAACAGGGGAGUUUGGUCUAAAGAAAACUUGUUACAUCCGAUACCAUAUUCCUGUGUACACGGAAUAUUGGCAGUGGCUGUUCUAUUUCAUAUCUUAAUGUUGUUUCUAUAUACAUCUUAGUGCAGAUCUGUAAUAGCCAGUGCUUAAUGUACCCCAUUCUAAAUAGACCUUUACACCAGUACACUUAUGAAGACAUCGGAUCGCUGUAUAUGUGUUUUUAUACCAUUUGACAUAUAGAGUAGACAUAUGAAAAUUGUUGAUUGAUUGAUUGAUGGUUGAAAACUGUUGACAUGUUGUAGUUGUUUCGUCUUUCUUUGUUUUUUCUUCUUUUUGUGUAGUUUGCUUGCAUUUUCCAUUUUGUAUACCUUGCAUCACAAUUUUGUCAAAGUCUAAUAAACAAUGAAACUCAA